CCUACGGGAGGCAGCAGUGAGGAAUAUUGGUCAAUGGCCGGAAGGCUGAACCAGCCAUGCCGCGUGAAGGUCAGUGCCCUAUGGGCGUUAAACUUCUUUUGUGCGGGAGCAAUACUGGUCACGUGUGGCCAGACGAGAGUACCGUACGAAUAAGAAUCGGCUAACUCCGUGCCAGCAGCCGCGGUAAUACGGGGGAUGCAAGCGUUAUCCGGAUUUAUUGGGUUUAAAGGGUGCGUAGGCGGGGAGGUAAGUCAGCGGUGAAAUGCCCCCGCUCAACGGGGUGAAGUGCCAUUGAUACUGGCAUGCUGGAAUGCGGAUGAGGUGGGAGGAAUGUGUGGUGUAGCGGUGAAAUGCAUAGAUAUC
RNAcentral lists this ribosomal RNA (363 nucleotides) under uncultured bacterium. RNAcentral's name for it is "partial 16S ribosomal RNA". It matches the Rfam family "Bacterial small subunit ribosomal RNA", at positions 338 to 698 of the family's 1533-position model. The record is from RNAcentral.